UACGUAGGGGGCAAGCGUUGUCCGGAUUUAUUGGGCGUAAAGAGCGUGUAGGCGGUCAGAUAGGUCCGUUGUGAAAACUCGAGGCUCAACCUCGAGACGCCGAUGGAAACCAUCUGACUAGAGUCCGGAAGAGGAGAGUGGAAUUCCUGGUGUAGCGGUGAAAUGCGCAGAUAUCAGGAAGAACACCCGUGGCUAAGGCGGCUCACUGGACUGGUAUUGACGCUGAGGUGCGAAAGCGUGGGGAGCAAACAGG
This 253-nucleotide ribosomal RNA is filed under the name uncultured bacterium. RNAcentral's name for it is "partial 16S ribosomal RNA". It matches the Rfam family "Bacterial small subunit ribosomal RNA", at positions 524 to 776 of the family's 1533-position model. The record is from RNAcentral.